Molecule: long non-coding RNA, 841 nt
Organism: Galeopterus variegatus (Sunda flying lemur)
Lineage: Eukaryota; Metazoa; Chordata; Mammalia; Dermoptera; Cynocephalidae
Exons: 2
Source: RefSeq, a predicted model, not a curated record
UAUUGAAGGGACUCUGUCAAAUGUCACUCAGCUAAUAAGCACAGGAGCUGAAACAUGAACCAGCUUUUUCAUACCUGGGAAGAAUGUGCAUCUUUUCAUGUUGCUCUGUCUCAGCCGUGAAAUGUGUGGGAAGACAUGCUGAUCAGCCAGCAGAUGCUGCCCUCCUGCAUAAAACUGAGCAGAAAUGUUUGUCCUGCAGCUUGAGUUAGCAUCAAUUUCCAGCCAAGCCAGCUGUGGAAAUGGCAAUGUACUCAUUUAAAACCCUUGAGGUUUUAAAGAGCAAAGUGCUACAAGAGAGUCUUCUAAAUUCUCAGAUAUAUUUUGACUUAAAUGACAUUCUUUUGGGGAAAUAUUUAGAGUGAAUCUCCUUCGUUUAUUAGAGGGUAGCUGGAGGAGCUCAGGAUCUUCAGGCAGGAGGGUAACAGAUGAAAUAUAAAUGAAAGAAUGCAUGAUCAGUCAGAAGAAAAACUCCACAUGCACAUAGAGUCCAGUGGUUCACAGCUCAGUUUCAGGAGACAGAGAAACCUGAGAAAGGAGCCUGGCUCCCCAGAGUGGAGCUGAGUGUGACCUUGGGCAAGUUACAUCACAGCAUUAUGAGAUAAAAGGAAGAUAAUGCAUGUAAAAUUGUUAGCAUAGUCACAGGUCAAUAGUAAUUGCUCAAUAAUUUUAGAUUGCUAUCAUUGUCCUUAAUAUUAAUUAUAAUGAUUACUGUUAUUAAAGUAGCAAGUGACAAGAAAAAUGAUGGCUCAAGAUCAUCCUGUGGUCUUUGCACUAUUCAUAUUGAAAAAUUGUUAGUACAUGUUUAAUUUUCUAAUGAAGCACCAGAAAUAAUUUGUAAAAA